This 563-nucleotide ribosomal RNA is filed under the name uncultured bacterium. Its description in RNAcentral is "bacterial SSU rRNA". It matches the Rfam family "Bacterial small subunit ribosomal RNA", at positions 338 to 915 of the family's 1533-position model. The record is from RNAcentral.
CCUACGGGAGGCAGCAGUAAGGAAUCUUCCACAAUGGACGAAAGUCUGAUGGAGCAACGCCGCGUGCAGGAUGAAGGCUUUCGGGUCGUAAACUGCUUUUAUAUGGGAAGAUUAUGACGGUACCAUAUGAAUAAGGACCGGCUAACUACGUGCCAGCAGCCGCGGUAAUACGUAGGGUCCAAGCGAUAUCCGGAAUUACUGGGCGUAAAGCGUGUGUAGGUGGAUUAAUAAGUGUGAUGCGAAAUCCGGCGGCUCAACCGUUUGGACUGUGUCGCAUACUGUUAGUCUAGAGGACGGCAGAGGUAAGUGGAAUUACGGGUGUAGCAGUGAAAUGCGUAGAUAUCCGUAGGAACACCAAUGGCGAAGGCAGCUUACUGGGCCACACCUGACACUGAGACACGAAAGCGUGGGGAGCGAACAGGAUUAGAUACCCUGGUAGUCCACGCCGUAAACGAUGCAUACUAUUAGUAUGGGGUAUCGACCCCCUGUGCUGAGAAGCUAACGCGAUAAGUAUGCCGCCUGGGGAGUACGAGCGCAAGCUUAAAACUCAAAUUGAAUUGAGG